ACGGAAGGCAGCAGUGGGGGAUAUUGCACAAUGGGCGAAAGCCUGAUGCAGCGACGCCGCGUGAGGGAAGACGGUUUUCGGAUUGUAAACCUCUGUCUUCGGGGACGAAAAAGGACGGUACCCGAGGAGGAAGCUACGGCUAACUACGUGCCAGCAGCCGCGGUAAUACGUAGGGAGCGAGCGUUGUCCGGAAUUACUGGGUGUAAAGGGAGCGUAGGCGGGACUGCAAGUCAGAUGUGAAAUGCCGGGGCUUAACCCCGGAGCUGCAUUUGAAACUGUGGUUCUUGAGUGAAGUAGAGGCAAGCGGAAUUCCUGGUGUAGCGGUGAAAUGCGUAGAUAUCAGGAGGAACACCGGUGGCGAAGGCGGCUUGCUGGGCUUUUACUGACGCUGAGGCUCGAAAGCGUGGGUAGCAAACAGGAUUAGAUACCCUGGUA
This 435-nucleotide ribosomal RNA is filed under the name uncultured Ruminococcus sp. RNAcentral describes it as "bacterial SSU rRNA". It matches the Rfam family "Bacterial small subunit ribosomal RNA", at positions 341 to 792 of the family's 1533-position model. Lineage: Bacteria; Bacillati; Bacillota; Clostridia; Eubacteriales; Oscillospiraceae. The record is from RNAcentral.